UUCCCUCUCCACCCCGUUUCUUGAUCUGGAAUUCUUGAAAUCUCGAUCCUUGCUUCCUCCUCGCGAGGGCCCUCCGCGCCCAACUUCGGAUGCUCCCGAUCGGCGGCGGUGGGCCGACCAACAGCGGCGGACCACCGUCACCGCUUCGUUCCUCCUCUUCCUCCUCCUCCAUCCUAUCGCCGUUGGCUCCUCCUUUCACUGUCUGUAGCCAAUACCCCGCCUUCCCUUAGCCGAUCUCCGCCGCCGGCGACUGGCCUCCCUCCUCCGCCACGGCAUUACCGCUUUCCUCUCUUACCCCUGGUCUCCGCUCUAUGCCAAGCAGUAGUGUCUUCGAAUCGGCUACUCUGUAUUUACCCUAGUUAUGCUCCGUUGGCGGUGGCUUGCCGGGGUCCGGCGAUGAUGGCCUGCAACAUUUGCCAGGUCUUGAGAGUCACGGGGAUAGGUUCUGUCCUUUGGAGUGGACCCUUUCGUGGAGAGGAAAGGGGAAGAGAGAAGGGUUUUGGCGGUAGUUUGUCUUGGAUGGACCGCUCUUCGAGUUACUGUCCUCCUUGUUGUAUGAAGUUUUUACAUGUGAUGAAAAAUUAAAGCAUGGGAGGUCUAUCACAACAUCUUCCAACAACCAAAGAGAAGUUUGAUCUCAUUGUCUGUUUUGUAUUGUUGAGCUCUACUUUUCUUUUCGAGUGUUGGUUAAUCUUGUACAUUGUUAUCUUUUGCUGAGAAUAUUCAAUAUAAAUUUCAUUUUACAGGUUACAUAAUAAAAAUGGUUCUUUUAUCUGGUAUGCAUUUUGCCUGCUUUAUUUGAUGCUUCAGAAAUAUGUUCAUUUUGCAUGGCUAUGUUCGCCAAAUCCACUGCAAUGAAUUCUGCCUCCAUAUGACUGUUCUCAGGACUUCACCGGGGAAAGUUCUAAUGUUUUUGGGAUUGAGGUUGCACCACCUCAGUUUGAAGUUUCAAAGACUGAUAAUGGUCUGAAAAUGAGCAGCAAUAAAGGUGCCAGGGGCCAAAGGCAUGAAGUGUAAGAGUCAGUGGGCUUGGUGUUGACAAUCAUAAAGUCAAACAAUUUUGAAGGUUUUGAUACAGAUUCCAGGACACACAUGGCCCAGGCCUUAAUAAGGUUUCAAGGGGAGGUUUUGACUAGGAAGAGGACCUUCAGACUAUUUUACAAGACUCAGUAGCCUGAGGCCAAAGUUGCGUUGUGUUUGCAAAUUCUCAUGAUUCAUCAGAUGUGGAAUGUAAGCCUUCACAGUUGACCAAACUAGAAGUUUGAAUUCGAUGAACUACCUUAACUGGAAUGAUGACCAAACGAUGCAGCAAUACUUCAACCAAGGGGGGCUGAUGGAGGCAAAAAUAGUAGUACGAAACCUCAUGAAGUUAAAACAAACCGGGCGGAUCAAUUUCGUAACUGUUGGAGGUCGUGGUGGAACAAAAGAAGCUCUGUGCAGCCAUUGCCGCUGGACUGAACCUAGCAGAACCUAGCUGUCAGCAAAGCUUGCUGAUUUGGGGUUUAGUCAGCAGAACCAACAAUCAUGUGCUCAUGAUGAACCUAGCAGUUACUUGAAAUCCUGUGAAGUAACCACAAACAAGACAGAUGUGGUUGAUUCCUCUGUUAUGGCUAGACUCGACAGUUAAAAGGACGAGUAGAUGCUUCAAACUCUACCGGUGCAUAAGAGUAUCCAGAAAAACUGGACUGUGGAUGCUUGAGGCUGCUUGAAAACAAAAGAGACUGUGUGCAGAAUUAAUUUAGAUAGUAGUGAAAAUACAGCUGGUGUUACGCCAGCAAAGAUUUCUGAUUUGGCUUUUUUUCAGCAGAAUCAGUAGGCAUAUACUCCAGAUGAACCUAGCAGUUGUAGGCUUCGUGAUGUAAAGACGUACAGGGCAGAUGAGGUUGAUUCCUCUGUCAUGGCCUGACUCAGAAUUCUAAAAGGAUGGAUUGAUAAUUUAACUCUAUCAAUUUGGGGGAGCAUCCUAUGCUGCUCCACUCUGUAGACGUUGAAGGUUGCUUGGGAAGAAGAGAUGCCUUGUGCAGCUUACUCUUCAAGUGGUGCAAAAAUUAAAAAAUACUGCUAGGCAGAGAGUCAGAAAAUUACACGCUGACAAGGGUUGCUGGCUUGAGCUUCCUGCAGAAGAACAGCGUAUCUGAAGUUGAACCCAGCAAAUCUAGCAAAACUUGCCGACUCGAGCUUCAUGCAGGAGAACAGCGUGUCUGAAAAUGAAGGCAGCAGAAGUUCAGUACCAAAGAGCAGUUCCAGCAUCCAGCAUCUUGCAUCUUGAUACAAAUGCCAAUGAUGAAAUUGAACUGUAUAUCAAAACAACAAUUCAAAGUCAGCAUUCAGAGAAUCCCCUGUAAAAAGCAAAAGACAAGCUUUGGCCAGCAAUAUUUUGGAUCCUUUGUUUCAAGAAAA
This is a long non-coding RNA of Phoenix dactylifera (date palm), 2400 nucleotides long. RefSeq lists it as uncharacterized. NCBI's taxonomy places the organism in Eukaryota, Viridiplantae, Streptophyta, Magnoliopsida, Arecales, Arecaceae. The record is from RefSeq and is a predicted model, not a curated record.